UCUUGAUAUCCAGAGAAUUCGCUAGAGAUAGCUCAGUGCCUUCGGGAACUCUGAGACAGGUGCUGCAUGGCUGUCGUCAGCUCGUGUUGUGAAAUGUUGGGUUAAGUCCCGCAACGAGCGCAACCCUUAUCCUUUGUUGCCAGCGAGUAAUGUCGGGAACUCAAAGGAGACUGCCGGUGAUAAACCGGAGGAAGGUGGGGAUGACGUCAAGUCAUCAUGGCCCUUACGAGUAGGGCUACACACGUGCUACAAUGGCAUAUACAAAGAGAAGCGAACUCGCGAGAGCAAGCGGACCUCAUAAAGUAUGUCGUAGUCCGGAUUGGAGUCUGCAACUCGACUCCAUGAAGUCGGAAUCGCUAGUAAUCGUAGAUCAGAAUGCUACGGUGAAUACGUUCCCGGGCCUU
This 404-nucleotide ribosomal RNA is filed under the name uncultured Enterobacteriaceae bacterium. Its description in RNAcentral is "bacterial SSU rRNA". It matches the Rfam family "Bacterial small subunit ribosomal RNA", at positions 979 to 1382 of the family's 1533-position model. Lineage: Bacteria; Pseudomonadati; Pseudomonadota; Gammaproteobacteria; Enterobacterales; Enterobacteriaceae. The record is from RNAcentral.